RNAcentral lists this ribosomal RNA (824 nucleotides) under Providencia rettgeri. RNAcentral's name for it is "partial 23S ribosomal RNA". It matches the Rfam family "Bacterial large subunit ribosomal RNA", at positions 1099 to 1933 of the family's 2925-position model. Lineage: Bacteria; Pseudomonadati; Pseudomonadota; Gammaproteobacteria; Enterobacterales; Morganellaceae. The record is from RNAcentral.
UGUUGGCUUAGAAGCAGCAACCAUUUAAAGAGUGCGUAAUAGCUCACUAGUCGAGUGACCCUGCGCCGAAAAUGUACCGGGGCUAAACAUAUUACCGAAGCUGUGGACUACACCAUUAGGUGUAGUGGUAGGAGAGCGUUCUAAGGGCGUUGAAGGUCGAUCGUGAGGACGGCUGGAGCGCUUAGAAGUGAGAAUGCCGGUAUGAGUAGCGAAAGACAGGUGAGAAUCCUGUCCACCGUAUGACUAAGGUUUCCUGGGGAAGGCUCGUCCGCCCAGGGUUAGUCGGGACCUAAGCCGAGGCCGAUAGGCGUAGGCGAUGGACAACAGGUUGAUAUUCCUGUACCAGUUGUUUUUGUUUGAGCAAUGGAGGGACGCAGUAGGCUAAGGAAUGCAUGCGAUUGGAAGUGCAUGUCCAAGCAAUGAGUCUUGAGUAGAGUUAAAUGCUUUACUCUUUAAGGACAAGUUGUGACGGGGAGCGAAAUAAUAGUAGCGAAGUUCCUGAUGUCACACUGCCAAGAAAAGCUUCUAGUGAGAAAACAACUGCCCGUACCGUAAACCGACACAGGUAGUCGAGGAGAGUAUCCUAAGGUGAGCGAGCGAACUCUCGUUAAGGAACUCGGCAAAAUGACCCCGUAACUUCGGGAGAAGGGGUGCUGACGACCGUCAGCCGCAGUGAAUAGGCCCAAGCGACUGUUUAUCAAAAACACAGGUCUCUGCAAAAUCGUAAGAUGAAGUAUAGGGGCUGACGCCUGCCCGGUGCUGGAAGGUUAAGAGGAUGGGUUAGCUUCGGCGAAGCUCAGAAUUGAAGCCCCAGUAAACGGCGG